Molecule: unclassified non-coding RNA, 208 nt
Filed under: Hevea brasiliensis (rubber tree)
Lineage: Eukaryota; Viridiplantae; Streptophyta; Magnoliopsida; Malpighiales; Euphorbiaceae
Source: RNAcentral
UGCAAAUAGAAAGAGCUAUAGGAUAUGAAUAACUAGCCGGCCGUGAAAAACCAAUCCAAAAUUUCAUAGGUCGCUAAAGUAAUAUAUAAUCAAACAACUUACAAAACUAUUCAGAUUGUGUGAUUAGAGGCAACUCCACUAGCCAUGGUGUGUAUGUCAACGACAAGAUCAGCACCUAUAAUUUCCCACAUGGUAACUGAUGCAGCAC